This 460-nucleotide ribosomal RNA is filed under the name uncultured bacterium. Its description in RNAcentral is "partial 16S ribosomal RNA". It matches the Rfam family "Bacterial small subunit ribosomal RNA", at positions 338 to 795 of the family's 1533-position model. The record is from RNAcentral.
CCUACGGGAGGCAGCAGUGAGGAAUAUUGGUCAAUGGACGAGAGUCUGAACCAGCCAAGUAGCGUGAAGGAUGACUGCCCUAUGGGUUGUAAACUUCUUUUAUAUGGGAAUAAAAUGUUCUAUGUGUGGGAUUUUGUAUGUACCUUAUGAAUAAGGAUCGGCUAACUCCGUGCCAGCAGCCGCGGUAAUACGGAGGAUCCGAGCGUUAUCCGGAUUUAUUGGGUUUAAAGGGAGCGUAGGUGGGUUGUUAAGUCAGUUGUGAAAGUUUGCGGCUCAACCGUAAAAUUGCAGUUGAUACUGGCAGUCUUGAGUACAGUAGAGGUAGGCGGAAUUCGUGGUGUAGCGGUGAAAUGCUUAGAUAUCACGAAGAACUCCGAUUGCGAAGGCAGCUCGCUGGACUGCAACUGACACUGAGGCUCGAAAGUGUGGGUAUCAAACAGGAUUAGAUACCCGUGUAGUC